CUCGUGCCAAAAGUCCCUGAAUCGUGUGAAAAAAUCCAACUACAUCGAGUCUCUUCGACUUAAGUGUUUAUGAAAGCUGUUCGAUUCUAUGGAGAAAAAUGAAAAAUGAAAUACUCAAAUUCUUUUUUAACUGACAGAACGUGGAGUCGUAGUAAGCGUGACACAAUGAGAUAAUCAGGAUGAAACAUCCACGAGCGUCGUUUUGGAUCUUCCUCGAAUUAAAAGUAAAAGUCAAGGAAAUCUAUUAAGGGUCGUGAUUGCGGAAACUUGGUCAAUAAAUGAGGGUCAUGUAGCAAGCUCUCGAAAGUCGUUGCCAAGGAAAACCUACGAUCAUCUCUUGACAAUCGCGAAACGAAUCCAAGUCGAUGGAGGGCCUCGUAACAAAAAACACCCUUGUCAAAUUUGUUGACUUCUUAGAUAAUAAAGCAUUGGAAUAGUCAGAAGAUAGAUUUACAGAAUAAUGGGAUCGGUAUUAUGAAAAUGAUCUAUAUCCUAACUGUAUGAAACUUUGAAUUUCAGUUAAUUUCGUUCCAAUAAAUGGAGUUCGGGUAAA
Bombus huntii is the source of this 553-nucleotide long non-coding RNA. RefSeq lists it as uncharacterized. The transcript is spliced from 2 exons. Lineage: Eukaryota; Metazoa; Arthropoda; Insecta; Hymenoptera; Apidae. The record is from RefSeq and is a predicted model, not a curated record.